Molecule: ribosomal RNA, 73 nt
Filed under: Salmonella enterica subsp. enterica serovar Senftenberg
Lineage: Bacteria; Pseudomonadati; Pseudomonadota; Gammaproteobacteria; Enterobacterales; Enterobacteriaceae
Also listed under: 2 other names
Description: partial 16S ribosomal RNA
Rfam family: Bacterial small subunit ribosomal RNA (bases 1-61)
Source: RNAcentral
GACUGGGGUGAAGUCGUAACAAGGUAACCGUAGGGGAACCUGCGGUUGGAUCACCUCCUUACCUGAAAGAAGC